This 457-nucleotide ribosomal RNA is filed under the name uncultured Ignavibacteria bacterium. Its description in RNAcentral is "partial 16S ribosomal RNA". It matches the Rfam family "Bacterial small subunit ribosomal RNA", at positions 338 to 794 of the family's 1533-position model. Lineage: Bacteria; Pseudomonadati; Ignavibacteriota; Ignavibacteria. The record is from RNAcentral.
CCUACGGGAGGCAGCAGUGAGGAAUAUUGGGCAAUGCCCGAAAGGGUGACCCAGCAACGCCGCGUGGAGGAUGAAGUCCUUCUGGACGUAAACUCCUUUUAGAGGGGACGAAAAGCCCGAUUUGUCGGGAAUUGACGGUACCCUCAGAAAAAGCACCGGCUAACUAUGUGCCAGCAGCCGCGGUAAUACGUAGGGUGCAAGCGUUGUCCGGAUUCACUGGGUGUAAAGGGUGCGCAGGCGGGCUCUUAAGUCAAAGGUAAAAUCUCUGGGCUUAACCGAGAAAUUGCCUUUGAUACUGAGAGCCUUGAGUACGGGAGAGGGAGAUGAAAUUCCGGGUGUAGCGGUAAAAUGCGUAGAGAUCAGGAGGAACACCGAGGGCGAAGGCAGCCCCCGGGGUUGACACUGACGCUCAGGCACGAAAGCGUGGGGAGCAAACGGGAUUAGAUACCCCUGUAGU